UUCUGACUGACAGUGAUUACGUGUACAUCGUGGGGGGAAUUCUCUUGGCCUUCACCAGUGGUUACUACAGCAGUCUCACCAUGAUGUAUGGACCUAAGUUGGUAGAACCAGAGGUUGCUGGAAUUGCCGGGAUGAUCAUGGCGUUCUGUCUCGUGAUGGGCAUCACAACUGGUGUCAACUUCUCAUUAGCUGUCGCUAGUAUGGCAAUACAGUGACCAUGGAAACAAAAGAUCAGAGAGAUACUGCCGAAAUUAUCAUGUACUGCCCAACGAGAAUCGGGGGUCCAAAUUCAUGCACCAAGAUAGUUCCUGAAUCACCAGGGACCUGGUUUUUCUAUCAUUCACAGCUUAUUGAAGAAAAUGAGAGUAAUAAUAAAUAAAAAUGUGAAGGUCUGAUUGAAAUUUACAGUCCCAACCUUGUUAUUCAAGUACAAGAAAGUUUCUUCAUUUGAUUAAUAUGCAUUAAGCUAUAAAAUUGCAUCGUCACUAAGAACCAGUUUAAAAUGAUAUAAAAUUAAAUGUUUUAUGUCUAAGUAAUUAAAGACGUAGAUAUCUUGCAAAAUCCUUUAACAACAAAAAAAUAAAUAGAACUUGCUUCAUUCAUUCGUAAAAGAAUUUGAUUAAGAGUUCGCCAUAUUUUUUAUCCCUUGUAUGCAAGACAACAAUCUAAAUAAAUUAGUGCUUGUAAAGAAAGAUAACUGGACAAAAGGAAUCAUGAGUAAAAUCCAUCAUGUCAAACAAUGAUUGAUUCAGCUCUAGAGAAAAAGUGGAGAGACCAGAGAAUACUGUAUGGCACAACUGUCCUGUCCCAAAAUCAGUUGUCAAGAUCUCUUCCAUGUAUAUGUGCUAUUAUGAUAUUCUCUAUAGUCAUGCUCAUUUAUUGAGAAACACAACAUUUAUUUUUUAUUUAAGGAAUGAAGCUUAUUUCAACUUAUGUUAUUUGAUAUAACAUAACAUAAAUGCCCCAAGUUUUGUUAUAUCAGAUAACAUAAGUUGAAAUAAGCUUCAUUUCUUAUGAUUUAAUUUCAAUGUAGACAAUGAGACAAGAUUUCCUCCAGAAAUAAGCUUCAAAGUGAGCAUUAUUUUAAAAGUAAUGUCAAGCGGAGUGAUACAUGUUUGACGUAACUCACUGUGACAAAGGCAAGUUAACGUUAUACAAAAUGGAUAAAACCGUUUAACCAAUCAAAUGACGCGUUACAACUGAAAUUAAAUUAUUUAGAAUUAUCUUUCUGUACAAUGCCCUGCUUAUUAAACUCUGAAAACUUGCUAUACAUGUAGGUAUUUAAUGUAGAAAGAUUAAGCCAAACUUUUUGAUUGAUAAAGCCUACCUCCAUUGUGUUAAUGUGUCAGAAGUAUAUCUCAUAAGAAACCUAUAGAGACAGUCUCCCAUAGGAAUAUAAAUGACUGCAUUAUAAUUAUCACUUUUUAUGUUCAUACUGUUUGAGUCUUGGUUUCACUACAUCUUAUAUUAGCUUUGCUAUCUUUAGUUAUUUGUUAGUACCUGAUAGGUUUGUUGGCUUACUUGUUGUCUGAUGGCUGACUAGUAGUGUGUUGGCUGAUUCGUUGUUUUUAAGUAUUGCUUUUUUAGGCAGCUUUAUCAUCACUUCUCUGGCAUUACUGUAUGUUCUGUUUUAUGAGACUAGUACAAGUGUGGUACCCUUUCUGAAAUGUACUUAUUUUUGAUCACCACUUAUAAAGAAUAUCACACAAUUAGAUGUGAUUAAUUAAAAGGCAGUGUUAUUUUAAUACUGCAAUAAUUAGUACACCAGUAGAAGUACUUACUUUAAAUAGACUGAAAUAAAUACAUGCAUGGUAAUUUCUUAGGACAAAAGCAAUGUGUUUAUGUACAGUUUACACUAUUUUCUACAUAUACAUGUAUGUAUAAAGAAGAAAAGUCUCAUCCUUUAGAGAGAUGAUUCCUUUUGUUUUAAUGGGACAAUGACCUGAAUGAAAUGUUAAUUCUAAAAUGUGACUACUAACUUGAACUCGUUUUUGGCUGUGUAUUUAAAUCAUCUUUAAAGUCACAAAAUUCAGACAUUUAAUAGUUUUCUGAAUUUUCAAAUUACUCCUCUUUGUAAAAAAGAUUGAGUCAGAAUAAUAAUAAAUUGUUGACAAUCCAUUGCUUGACACAAGUAUAUCGUAAAAAUCUGCCUCUGAAAUCCAGGGUAAUUACAUGUAAGUCAGCUGAGUUUGAACUGACUUAACUGUAAAUAUUGGUGUUUUAUUCUGAAGUGAAAUGUUAAUGAUUUAUUGUGCCUGUCUUUACUUCUUGUACACAUGCUGUAUCUGUUUCAAUACAUGGAAUUAUUCAGACAUGUUUUGGUCAUUAUUGUAAUCUUUUGUGACCUAAAAUGAAGUUAUAAGAUGAUUCAUGUAGACAUGCUACUACAUGUGCAUGCUUUUUGUUUUUAUUACCCAGUAGAAAGAAAUUGUUCUUUUUAUGUUUUUGUAUUUUUGUAAAGAUAGUAAUUUGUUGCAUUAAAACCUACAUGUAGGUUUUAAGAAGUGCUGAAUUUUAAUUAUUUGGGAUUAAUUCUUAAAUGUCAAACUGUUAUUGUUACCUAAAUGCAUGUACAGUAGCUUAGAAUGAUUCAGUAUAUGGUUAAAUAAAAUCAGGUUUGAAUUAUUAUGAUAAGUACAUGUGGGCAUUACUGUAAUCAUGUCUAGUUUACAAUUAAACAGUCAAAUGAUGUUAAAAAAAAGGAAUUAGUAUAAACACUACUUUAUACAUUUAUAUGUAUUAAAGAAAAAUAGAAUGAUUUCUACACUUUGAUGUAAGGUAUUAGAAUACUGUGAAUGUACUUAAUAUAGUGUAUUUUGCACUGCUUUAUGUCCAGUUAUUCAUGUACAUAUUAAUACACAGUUUGAACAAAUGUUGUUCUCAUGACUAAAGUGCACUAUAAUGUAAUCUGGUUACCCAGUUCUAGAGGAAAGUUGUACUUAAUUUUGAGUGUGCCAACUUAUACAGUUGUUUCUACAUGUAUAUGAAUAUCGGGUGCAUUCAAUAUGAAAAACAUACAGAAUAUUUGUAGAUUAAUGAAAUUAUUAAUUGUUUUAGUCUUUAGUCUAACAGUGGGCAAAUCAGACAAACAAGAAUGCAGAUGUUAAGCUUUAGAUAUAAUAGCUGUAUAUAAAUGUAACUUAUGAUUUGAAACUGCUUCUUUAGAUAAACUUAUUAUAAAAACAUGAAUACAAAGUUCUACAAGGAUAAAACACUUACCGGUACUUCCAGUUCAUUUUAGACUAUUUUGAUCUCCUUUAGAAGAAGAGCUCCACUCACUUCCAGUUCAGGAUGGCUGAAAUCCAAUUUAUCCACAAGUGUAUGAAUAAACAAAACACUGCUCAGAAUGAUUUCCCCAAAAGGAUUUAUGUCAGUGUGUUUAAGUGGUGAAUAGCAAUAGAGACAAAAUGGCGAUUUUUGAAGGAAAAAUUAUCUAGGUGAAGCUUACUAGUUAUAAGUAAUAUUUAAUGCUGUAAAAUGCGUAAAGUAAGAUGAUUUAAAUGAGUUGUAUUCCUAGAGUGUUUGUUAAUUAUAUGACAUGGCAUUGUUUAUUUAGUUGUUGUACAUUGUCUCUUUCUGUUUUACUGUAUCCUUGUCUUAGCACAAUGCCAAAAUUUUGUUCAUUUGGCUUAAUAUUCAUUUGACUCGCUAAUUAUAUUUUUGUUUUAUUCUCAUCUAUCUUCAUGAUCUUUUUGGAAAGAGUUUUCUUUUUUUUCGCAUGAUUUACUGUUGAUUAUUUUCAAAAAUCAAGAAAGUUCUUUAUGAGAUAAAUUAUAUUUCCUCUGCACUGUACAUUAUUAGUUUUCAAAAAUUUCAAUCAUUUUCACAUCAAACUAGUGUUUAUGGUAUUUUCCUUAGAACAUUAUACAUGAUGUAUAAGAAGUUAUAGGCACAGCACAUAGAAUGACGUUGAUGUAUUUGUUGACUCCAUAGAUUUUUGCUUCAUCUACAUUUUGUAACCAUGCAUGUUUUCUUUGACCCAUUUGUAUUUAUGAUUGCUUUUAUUUAUGCCAUGGAUAAACUUUAUAAAUUGUUUUUAAUUGAUGCUCAUCAGUUCUCAGACACUUAUCCUUAGUUCACCCAUAACAGAUAAGAAUUUUACAUUCAAUACACAUAGUGCACUUUCCUUUAUGAAACAAUUGUAAUGUAAAAGUGCUGUUUUAUUUUUUGAGGACAUUUAUUUUAAUUAUCUUUUUGUUUUGAUGUUUUGAAUUGCCUGUUAAUUUUAAUUGACACAUUAAUAAAGGUGACCAACUGAAUUGGUAAGCCUUUUAUGAUUCACAAUUCAUGUAUUGAACUACUGUUGAAGUGACACGUAUCUGCUGUAAGGUUUUUUUUGUUUUUGUUUUGUUUAUUUUGUGUGUACAUGUGUGUGUGAGUAUUCAAUAUUUUCCCUUCAUUACGUAUAUUGUUGUGCUAGGUUUAAUCUUUAAUGUUUUGUCUGUGUUGAAGUAUAGGACAUUCAUGUUUUUUAAAAUAAAAAUUAAAAGAAUGUUA
Molecule: long non-coding RNA, 4497 nt
Organism: Saccostrea cuccullata (small rock oyster)
Lineage: Eukaryota; Metazoa; Mollusca; Bivalvia; Ostreida; Ostreidae
Exons: 2
Source: RefSeq, a predicted model, not a curated record